GACGAACGCUGGCGGCGUGCCUAAUACAUGCAAGUUGAGCGCUGAAGGUUGGUACUUGUACCGACUGGAUGAGCAGCGAACGGGUGAGUAACGCGUGGGGAAUCUGCCUUUGAGCGGGGGACAACAUUUGGAAACGAAUGCUAAUACCGCAUAAAAACUUUAAACACAAGUUUUGAGUUUGAAAGAUGCAAUUGCACCACUCAAAGAUGAUCCCGCGUUGUAUUAGCUAGUUGGUGAGGUAAAGGCUCACCAAGGCGAUGAUACAUAGCCGACCUGAGAGGGUGAUCGGCCACAUUGGGACUGAGACACGGCCCAAACUCCUACGGGAGGCAGCAGUAGGGAAUCUUCGGCAAUGGACGAAAGUCUGACCGAGCAACGCCGCGUGAGUGAAGAAGGUUUUCGGAUCGUAAAACUCUGUUGGUAGAGAAGAACGUUGGUGAGAGUGGAAAGCUCAUCAAGUGACGGUAACUGCCCAGAAAGGGACGGCUAACUACGUGCCAGCCGCCGCGGUAA
Molecule: ribosomal RNA, 513 nt
Filed under: uncultured bacterium
Lineage: Bacteria
Description: partial 16S ribosomal RNA
Rfam family: Bacterial small subunit ribosomal RNA
Source: RNAcentral